CUGUAUUUUUUUUUUUCAAGUCUGAGGAUAUAACUCGAUGUGAAGGCCCUGAGGAAAUUCCCUCCUCACCAUUUCCUGCUUCUUCUGGACUCAAGAAUCAUCCACUGUAUUGUCACUGGAACUCUGGAGGGUAUCACAAACAAAAGUAACUUCCCUGAGCUUCUCUGGUUUGCCAGUCAGAGGUGGAGGAAAGACUGGAUCACAGAUCUCCCAAGUGCAUACAAGCAGAAGAAGAAGCCACAUGAUACCAUGGACAGAUCCAUGACUGCGUUCAAGCUCCCCUACAUGGAGAUAUCUUUCUGCUGAGGCAAAUCCUUCAAUUUUUCUCACUCUCAGUUUCCCACCUAUAAAAGUGAGCAUGUGCUGGCCUGUAGCACACACCUGUAAUCCCAGAUACUCAGGAGGCUGAGGCAGGAGAUUUGCAAGUUGGAGGCCAGUUUGGGCAACUUAUAACCUGCCUCAAAAGUAAAACAGAAAAAAAUAAAAAAUAAAAAGGACUGGUCAUGUAGCUCAGUGGUAGAGUUCUUGCCUAGCAUACUUGAGGCCCUGGGUUUGACCUUCGGUACCAACAAAGUCAUGUAAAUGUAGAAAAUAGUUUAUUUAGUUAACUUUUGCAUAAGACAGCUAGUUAGGGGAAAGUCCUGAGAUAGAGUUGGAUGACCAGCCAUUUGAUAAGAAUUAAGAAUAGACAGUGAACUAGAACUUUGGACCAAAAAUGAACUUCCUCAGCCAAUAUGGGACACAGCCCACUCCCUGCUAAAGGAAGGUGCAGCCCCACCCUACUAAGCUCCUGAAUUAUGAGGAACUGAAAUAUAAUGCUCUUUCUCAGGCAGCAAGCAAUGCAGCC
This 847-nucleotide long non-coding RNA is filed under the name Fukomys damarensis (Damara mole-rat). RNAcentral's name for it is "lncRNA (ENSFDAG00000032874.1)". Lineage: Eukaryota; Metazoa; Chordata; Mammalia; Rodentia; Bathyergidae. The record is from RNAcentral.